AACGAACGCUGGCGGCGCGCCUAAUACAUGCAAGUCGAGCGAGAAGGUGUAGCAAUACACUUGUAAAGCGGCGAACGGGUGAGGAAUACAUGGGUAAUCUACCAUCGAGUGGGGAAUAACCAGCCGAAAGGUUGGCUAAUACCGCGUACGCUUCCGAAUCUUCGGGUUCGGAGGGAAAGCCACACUGUGAGUGCGGCGCUCUUUGAUGAGCUCAUGUCCUAUCAGCUUGUUGGUAGGGUAACGGCCUACCAAGGCUUUGACGGGUAGCUGGUCUGAGAGGACGAUCAGCCACACUGGCACUGCGACACGGGCCAGACUCCUACGGGAGGCAGCAGUAAGGAAUAUUGCGCAAUGGGCGAAAGCCUGACGCAGCGACGCCGCGUGGGGGAUGAAGGUCUUCGGAUUGUAAACCCUUUCGGGAGGGAAGAUGGAGCGAGCAAUCGUUCGGACGGUACCUCCAGAAGCAGCCACGGCCAACUUCGUGCCAGCAGCCGCGG
Molecule: ribosomal RNA, 497 nt
Filed under: uncultured bacterium
Lineage: Bacteria
Description: bacterial SSU rRNA
Rfam family: Bacterial small subunit ribosomal RNA
Source: RNAcentral